AUUGAACGCUGGCGGCAGGCCUAACACAUGCAAGUCGAGCGAGCGGCAGACGGGUGAGUAAUGUAUGGGGACUGCCCGAUAGAGGGGGAUAACUGCUGGAAACGGUAGCUAAUCCCGCAUACUGUAGGAUAACCCAAAUGGGAUUGUGUAGUAGGUGAGUGAAGGGCUCACCUAGGCGACGAUCCCUAGCUGGGAGGUGAGGAUGAUCAGCCACCCGGGGACUGAGACACGGCCCAGACUCCUACGGAGGCAGCAGUGGGGAAUAUUGCACAAUGGGCGCAAGUCUGAUGCAGCCAUGCCGCGUGUAUGAAGAAGGCCCUAGGGUUGGAAAGUACGUUCAGUCGGGAGGCGUUACCGACAGAAGAAGCACCGGCUAACGCCGUGCCAGCCGCCGCGGUAAUAC
RNAcentral lists this ribosomal RNA (403 nucleotides) under uncultured bacterium. RNAcentral describes it as "partial 16S ribosomal RNA". It matches the Rfam family "Bacterial small subunit ribosomal RNA", at positions 29 to 526 of the family's 1533-position model. The record is from RNAcentral.